UUGUGGUUAUUUAGAAUCAACUUCUACUCUUUUGGGGGUGGCUGAUUGAAUAGACUUGUGCAUUUUUCAUAUAUGAACAUUAUUCGUAGUUUCUGUUUUGAAUCGACCUGUUUGUUAUUUGUAGUGGCUAUUUGAAAUCGGCUUGUGCUUUUUUUGGGGGGAUGGAUCUUUAAAAUCGGACUUCUGCGUAUUUAAGGGGGAUGCACAGUGAGAAAACAUCGAUCUAGGUCAAAAAUAUCGAUAUUUUAAAAUUAAUUGAUUUUAAUAGUUUAAAAUGUCUAGAAAACGAAUUCCCUAUCAGAAUACUAAAAAAACUGCGCUUUAUACAUCAAUUUUGUAUUUUAAAAGUAGAUGUAUAAGCAAAAUUUUGAUGUUUUGGUUAAAAAUCAACAUUUUGUAAGCUAAAGUUGAUAAGCUAAUGUACGCUCUUAUCCCUAACAGAUGGUAUCGAUACAAAGGUCUACUUUUCUAGUUCCGAUUAUGUGCAUGGUUUCUCAUUCUAUAAAUAUAAACUUUCAAAAUACGUCACUACCUCUUUUUUUUUCCCUAUAUCCUCAUAUACACACUCACUAAGCCAUAUUUACGCAUGCGCACUAUCAAAGCUACAUUGGUAACUAUGACAACAAAAUUUACACGCAUGCGCACAUGACGUGAACCGGUCCUUCUUCUGUAAACAUUUGAAAGCCUCGAUUCAUUAUUCAAACUCAGAAAUGCCAACAAAAGGUUAUAUGUUUGGAAAGAAAAAACGUUACUGUAAGCCCAGAGGAAGACAUGCUUCAAAGACAAAUGCAUAAUUACAAAGCUCUGUUUUGGAUACAGCUGGAUCUGAAGCAGCAACAACGCAGCCUGCAAGUGCAGCUGAACGAAAAAUAAUUCUAACUGCAAUUACUAACGCUGAUAACACCAAUAAGAGGCUGCCUGAAGAUUUCAUAUACGUCAUGAUGAAUUCAAUGGAAUUGACCACAAUGGUCUCCUUGUUGUGCUGUCCACAUUGCUUCGACAAAAAAUUAACCAUGUGCAUCACACAAUCAAAAGGCAUGGCUCAUUUGAUUAAAAUCAAAUGCCUAAAUUGUGAAACAUAUUUGUGGCCUGACUGGACCUCAAAAAAAAGUAAUAAUGUUCAUCUGGAUAUUAAUGUCCGCGCUGUCGCUGCAUUAAAAGAAUCUGGAAUCUCGCAUUCUAAAUUUGAUAGGUUUUGUGGACUUAUGAGUAUGCCCUGCAUGCACAGAAAUACUUAUAACAAUCUAGCUAACAUAGUCAACACUGCUAUAAUUGAAGCUGGUGAAGAAUGUAUGAUUAGGGCAUCUGCUGUUGUGCAUGGAAGAAACAUUUCACAACCUCUGACUACAGAUGAUAGAAUAAGUUCAACAGGCUGUCCUGUUAUUACAGUUUCUUUUGAUGGGACUUGGCAUAAAAGGGGCCACUCAUCUCAUUCAGGAAUUGGCAGUUAUUGAUUUUGAUACUGGACUCGUCAUCGACACCGAAGUCCUAUCAAAUUAUUGCUGUGUUUGUGAUUCAAACUCUGCAGAACUAAAUUUUGAUGCCUCUAUGCAUAUGUGUCAAAAAAACUUCAGUGGCUCAGCAAAUGCAAUGGAGGCCGCAGCAGCAUCCAAAAUUUGUUCUCACUCUGUGGCAUCAGAAAACUUGUUUAUGGCAUGAUGCUGUGUGAUGGUGAUAGUAAAUCACAUUCAUCUGCCAUUACCAGCUCAGGAUAUGAUGUAGAAAUCUUAAAAGAGGACUGCAUUAACCACAUCUCAAAAAGAAUGUCUAACAAAAAAGAACUAAAUUAUAGGCUUACAAAGCCAAAAAUUGAAAAAAUUACAAAUAACUAUUCCAAAGUUCUGCGCCAAAAUGCUCCUGACAUUCAAAAAAAUGAAGCUGGCUGUUAUGGGCUCAUUUUUUCAUAUGAUGAGCUCAGACCUAGAUCAUAACCACAGGUUGUGUCCUGAUGGCACUACAUCUUGGUGUCACACUUUAAGAGAUCAGAGGCACUAAAACAGCCAUACAAAAAACAUAAUCAGACCAUCACAUCAGAAAUAGGAAAACUGUUAUUUCCUAUAACAGACACAGAUCUGUUAAAAACAUGUUCAAGAAUGGGAACACAAAACGCCAAUGAAUCUUUUCAUUCCCUCAUUUGGCAAAGAUGCCCCAAAACAGAAUUCGCAACAUUAAAAACUAAGGACGGCGACAUACCUUGCUGUUUUAGCCUGUUGGCAUCAGUUUUUGACAUAUUAGGCGUUCCCUGGACACUAAAGAACAUUUCUUCUAGUGAGAAAAAGCAAAAUGUCAAACUACAGCUUGUUGUUAGAAAAAGAUUAAUCACAUAAGUGUCCAGGAGAAAAAAAUUGAAAAAACGAAGAAUUGAGCAUGAGCACCGGGCAGAGGUUCUCGAAGGUCCAACCUAUCAAUCAGGCCAUUUUAAUGAAUAGUUUUUUUAUUAUCUAUUAUGUUAUAUUAUGUAAAUAUUUCCCUUUUUUUUUCAUUUUUAUGGUUGCAAUAA
Molecule: RNA transcript, 2500 nt
Organism: Biomphalaria glabrata
Lineage: Eukaryota; Metazoa; Mollusca; Gastropoda; Planorbidae
Exons: 2
Source: RefSeq, a predicted model, not a curated record